CCUACGGGGUGCAGCAGUGGGGAAUAUUGGACAAUGGGCGAAAGCCUGAUCCAGCCAUGCCGCGUGUGUGAAGAAGGCCUUCGGGUUGUAAAGCACUUUCAGUGGGGAAGAAAGCCUUGGGGCUAAUACCCUCGAGGAAGGACAUCACCCACAGAAGAAGCACCGGCUAACUCCGUGCCAGCAGCCGCGGUAAUACGGAGGGUGCGAGCGUUAAUCGGAAUUACUGGGCGUAAAGCGCGCGCAGGCGGUCUGAUAAGCCGGUUGUGAAAGCCCCGGGCUCAACCUGGGAACGGCAUCCGGAACUGUCAGGCUAGAGUGCAGGAGAGGAAGGUAGAAUUCCCGGUGUAGCAGUGAAAUGCGUAGAGAUCGGGAGGAAUACCAGUGGCGAAGGCGGCCUUCUGGACUGACACUGACGCUGAGGUGCGAAAGCGUGGGUAGCAAACAGGAUUAGAUACCCGUGUAGUC
Molecule: ribosomal RNA, 465 nt
Filed under: Vreelandella stevensii
Lineage: Bacteria; Pseudomonadati; Pseudomonadota; Gammaproteobacteria; Oceanospirillales; Halomonadaceae
Description: partial 16S ribosomal RNA
Rfam family: Bacterial small subunit ribosomal RNA
Source: RNAcentral